CCGCGUGCCGCGGGCGGUGGCGGUGCGCGGCAUAGUGGCAGAAGGAAUGCCUAGCACCCGCCUGGUGCCGGCGGCAGGGGGAGCAAGGGGCGGUGGGGCUCUAGCACCCGCCGCCACAUCAAGCUCGGCGAGCUCCAGCUCCCUGGACAUGCCGCCGAUGUGCCGCUCUUUCACUGAAGGUGUUGGUAUUGUUCUUGUCUGAUACUACCUGUUUACUGAAGAUUAUUUUGUUCAACCUAUCUGAUGCAAAAUCACCAGAUCCAACUUUACUUGUUUUGACAAGCUGCACAAGUGUUCUGCAACAUGUCUUUUCUAGUCGGGUUGUACUACAAUCUUUGGUUAUGGUAAAAAUACUUGAAAUGUGAUUAAGAAAUACUGCAAUAAUGUACAAAGCUGCAUCAGAAGCUGCUAUCGACCGGCGCCAAAGCUUAAUCAAGCUCUGUGUAUUUCUUUGUUACCUUUGAAUGGAACCUGACAGGAUCAAGCUCCUAAGAUUGUUGAGCUGUUGUACUUUAGACCAAUUUUCAGAGUUCAUUCCUUUCUGCGGAAAAGGUCUCCAGAUUGUGUUGAUUGUUUGGAAUGACUAGUGCCGCUUCAACCUUUUUUCUAGCAUUAGACUUGCUUGGACUUUCUGUUUUUUCUUCUUCUGAUUUUUGAUCCUCCAAUCUGGAACAAACCGCCUCGACAGAGCUCACCUUGGGAGGUCUUGUGUGUGGGCAUGCAGCUUGAUUAAUUUGUAUACUUUGUGUCAACCUUGAAACAACACUAAUAAGCUUAUGAACGCUAUCCUGGUCAGUUUGUUUAGUUUGGAGAUUAAAAUGUCUGGAGUUGUACAGUGAAUAAUAUUUGGUUUUGUUAAAGUUACAAUCAAAUAACGUGCUAUAAAUGGUUUCAGAUGAAGUAGUAUGCUGUGUGGAGUACCACUUGGAGACAACUUCAGGCAGUAGAAAGACCAGGUUAGUUUCAGGUGAAAAGAUAAACCAGGAGUAGGUUGGAAAAAUGAGUGAAACAAGAUUGCUUUCGUUUUAUGUUCGGAGAGCUCAUAUGCUGUAAGCUUUCUGAUAUUUCUGCAUCAACAAUUUUUCAGGUUCUUAGGUGAAAUUUACAUUUACAUGCAAAGACGCUGGAAGUUGGUAUUACUAUACCUGAUUAAUCGCCGAAGUAAAAAAAAAAAUCAUCAUAGUUAAUAACUGGAUGCUGCAUAAAAGAACCUGAGUAAUUUUUCUGAUAGUAAAGAGAGAAUCAUGCAGAUCAGACCUGAGGAAACGUGAGGGAGAUCCCAUGGAUGGAUGGCUGAUCUGAUACCUAAAAUUGCACUGUAAAAUCCCUCUCAAAUAACUGUUGCUUCACGUAGUGGAGCUUGAAACCGUCAUUGUCCUCGCAACAUAUUUAGUAUAUUUUGCAAUGUAAUACUCCUUUCAGCGUGAACCUAAUUGAGAAAAAUAUAAAUGACAGGGAAAGGGAGAAUAUUUCUAAACACAAUGACUUGUUCGAGGUGAUAUUACUACAUUUUUGUUGCAAUGAAAUACUACAAAUAGAGCCACUAGUCACUAUCUAACUGAGUGCUGCUGUUGCCAUCCGAAUAAAGCCUGUACUGUCUUAACAUGCCUGGCCAAAAUGAGAGAUGAAUGGAGACAAGGAUGAACAUGUAGUAGAGGCAACUAGUAAGUCACUGACCUGUAUGCUCUUCCUGUUCGUAAUAAGAUAGAGUCUUACUCUAGCAUCCCAUUCACUUGAAGCUCUAAGAUAGAGUCUUACGCCCGUUAUUGAUUUUCUAGAAUCCUUAAAAACCUAACAGAAAAAAGUUACAAUGCUUUUAAGAUCUGGAGGCAAAAAAAUUCGAAAAAAAUGCAAAAAAUAAAUAAAUUAGCAAUGGCGCACUAGUGCAUGGUGCGCGACUGCUAUUUUCCCGCCUUCAAAAUUCAAAAAAAUACAAAAAUAAAAAAUAAGUUAGCAAUGGCGCACCUUAUGAAUAAUGCGCCACUACUAUUGUCCCGCCUUCACAAUUCAAAAAAAUAGCAAUGGCGCACCAGUGCAUGGUGCGCCACUGCUAAGUUGGGACAGAAGUUUAAAAGGGCCGGCCAGCCACUUACCCCUUCAUUCUUCUCCUCCUCUCCUCCACUCCAUCUCCUCCUCUCCUCCUCUCCGGCGACCUCCUCCUCCUCACGGUGCUCCUCCUCCGGUGACCUCCUCCUCACGGUGCUCCUCCUCCGGCGACCUCCUCCUCCCUCCUAUCCUCCUCACGGUGCUCCUCCUCCAGCGACCUCCU
This 2269-nucleotide long non-coding RNA is filed under the name Triticum aestivum (bread wheat). RNAcentral's name for it is "long non-coding RNA (TAES_LNC003897)". Lineage: Eukaryota; Viridiplantae; Streptophyta; Magnoliopsida; Poales; Poaceae. The record is from RNAcentral.